UGGGGAAUCGUUCAAUGGUAGGACAGCGGACUCUGACUCCGUCAAUCAAGGUUCGAAUCCUUGUUCCCCAGCCA
Molecule: transfer RNA, 74 nt
Filed under: Deltaproteobacteria bacterium HGW-Deltaproteobacteria-12
Lineage: Bacteria; Deltaproteobacteria
Also listed under: 2 other names
Description: tRNA-Gln
Rfam family: tRNA
About the family: Transfer RNA (tRNA) molecules are approximately 80 nucleotides in length. Their secondary structure includes four short double-helical elements and three loops (D, anti-codon, and T loops).
Source: RNAcentral